ACAGUAAUGUUCUCAAAACCCAAAGAAUUUGGCGGUAUUUUAUUCUUAUUUAGAGGAACCUGUACUGUAAUUGAUAAUCCACGAUAGAAUUUACUUAUACUUGUUUUCAUUUUGUAUACCUCCGUCAUCAGAGUAUCUUUUUAGAGGAUAAUAUUCUUAAUAUAACAAAUAUAAUAUGUCAGGUCAAGGUGCAAUUUAUGUAUAAGUAGAUAUGGGUUACAAUAAAGUUAUUUAUACGGAUUAUUAUUUUUAAUGAUAAUAUGAAGGAGGAUUUAAAAGUAAAAUUAUUUUAUUUAUUAAUUUGAUUUUAGCUCUAAAAUAUGCACACAUCGCCCGUCGCUCUUAUUUUAAAAUAAGAUAAGUCGUAACAUAGUAGGUGUACCGGAAGGUGUACCUAGU
RNAcentral lists this ribosomal RNA (399 nucleotides) under Sympetrum fonscolombii. Its description in RNAcentral is "partial 12S ribosomal RNA". It matches the Rfam family "Microsporidia small subunit ribosomal RNA", at positions 762 to 1304 of the family's 1311-position model. The record is from RNAcentral. Lineage: Eukaryota; Metazoa; Arthropoda; Insecta; Odonata; Libellulidae.